UAUCUGAGAGUAACUGUUCAGGUAUGACGGUAUUUAACCAGAAAGCACGGCUAACUACGUGCCAGCAGCCGCGGUAAUACGUAGGUGGCAAGCGUGUCCGGAUUUAUUGGGCGUAAAGCGAGCGCAGGCGGUUUUUUAAGUCUGAUGUGAAAGCCUUCGGCUCAACCGAAGAAGUGCAUCGGAAACUGGGAAACUUGAGUGCAGAAGAGGACAGUGGAACUCCAUGUGUAGCGGUGAAAUGCGUAGAUAUAUGGAAGAACACCAGUGGCGAAGGCGGCUGUCUGGUCUGUAACUGACGCUGAGGCUCGAAAGUAUGGGUAGCAAACAGGAUUAGAUACCCUGGUAGUCCAUACCGUAAACGAUGAAUGCUAAGUGUUGGAGGGUUUCCGCCCUUCAGUGCUGCAGCUAACGCAUUAAGCAUUCCGCCUGGGGAGUACGGCCGCAAGGCUGAAACUCAAAGGAAUUGACGGGGGCCCGCACAAGCGGUGGAGCAUGUGGUUUAAUUCGAAGCUACGCGAAGAACCUUACCAGGUCUUGACAUACUAUGCAAAUCUAAGAGAUUAGACGUUCCCUUCGGGGACAUGGAUACAGGUGGUGCAUGGUUGUCGUCAGCUCGUGUCGUGAGAUGUUGGGUUAAGUCCCGCAACGAGCGCAACCCUUAUUAUCAGUUGCCAGCAUUAAGUUGGGCACUCUGGUGAGACUGCCGGUGACAAACCGGAGGAAGGUGGGGAUGACGUCAAAUCAUCAUGCCCCUUAUGACCUGGGCUACACACGUGCUACAAUGGAUGGUACAACGAGUUGCGAACUCGCGAGAGUAAGCUAAUCUCUUAAAGCCAUUCUCAGUUCGGAUUGUAGGCUGCAACUCGCCUACAUGAAGUCGGAAUCGCUAGUAAUCGCGGAUCAGCAUGCCGCGGUGAAUACGUUCCCGGGCCUUGUACACACCGCCCGUCACACCAUGAGAGUUUGUAACACCCAAAGUCGGUGGGGUAACCUUUUAGGAACCAGCCGCCUAAGUGA
This 1017-nucleotide ribosomal RNA is filed under the name Lactiplantibacillus plantarum. Its description in RNAcentral is "bacterial SSU rRNA". It matches the Rfam family "Bacterial small subunit ribosomal RNA", at positions 451 to 1465 of the family's 1533-position model. Lineage: Bacteria; Bacillati; Bacillota; Bacilli; Lactobacillales; Lactobacillaceae. The record is from RNAcentral.